Molecule: ribosomal RNA, 1281 nt
Filed under: Triticum aestivum (bread wheat)
Lineage: Eukaryota; Viridiplantae; Streptophyta; Magnoliopsida; Poales; Poaceae
Description: partial small subunit ribosomal RNA
Source: RNAcentral
AUGGGUAGCAGCCGCCGGCGGGGCGACCGCCAGCUCCUGCACCGCCUCCUCGCGCUCUCGUCGCUGCUCCUGCUCGCCUCCGGGGAGGUCAUCUUCGAGGAGCGAUUCGAAGAUGGUUGGGAGACUCGGUGGGUGAAAUCCGAUUGGAAAAGGAGCGAAGGGAAAGCCGGUACAUUCAAGCACACGGCAGGAAAAUAUUCCGGAGAUCCUGAUGACAAAGGCAUUCAAACAACAAUAGAUGCUAGGCAUUUUGCUAUCUCAGCCAAGAUACCGGAGUUCAGUAACAAGGGCCGAACAUUGGUGGUCCAGUAUUCCAUAAAGUUUGAGCAGGAAAUUGAAUGUGGUGGCGGCUAUAUUAAGCUAAUGUCUGGUUAUGUCAACCAGAAGAAAUAUAGCGGAGACACUCCAUACAGCUUGAUGUUUGGGCCAGAUAUAUGUGGGACUCAAACAAAGAAGCUGCAUCUUAUACUCUCUUACCAGGGGCAGAACUACCCUAUCAAGAAAGAUCUACAAUGCGAAACCGACAGGCUGACGCAUGUUUACACAUUCAUUCUUAGGCCCGACGCAUCUUAUAGUUUACUUGUUGAUAACCGUGAAAGAGAAUCUGGGAGCAUGUACACUGAUUGGGACAUCUUGCCUCCUCGUAAAAUUAAGGAUGUUGGUGCCAAAAAGCCUAAGGAUUGGGAUGACAGAGAGUACAUUGAGGAUCCAGAUGCGGUUAAACCUGAGGGAUAUGAUUCUAUUCCAAGAGAGAUUCCUGACCCAAAGGAUAAAAAGCCCGACACAUGGGACGAUGAUGAUGAUGGCAUAUGGAAACCUAGAAGGAUACCGAAUCCAGCAUACAAAGGACAGUGGAAGCGCAAGAAAAUUAAGAACCCUAACUACAAGGGUAAAUGGAAGAUCCCAUGGAUUGAUAAUCCAGAGUUUGAGGAUGAUCCAGAUUUAUAUGUACUGAAACCUCUGAAGUAUAUUGGAAUUGAAGUUUGGCAGGUAAAAGCCGGCUCAGUAUUUGACAACAUUCUCAUUUGCGAUGACCCGGAAUAUGCAAAACAGGUUGCCGAUGAAACAUGGGGUGCAAAUAAGGAGGCUGAAAAGGAGGCUUUUGAAGAAGCUGAAAAGGAGAGGAAAGCUAGAGAAGAUAAGGAAGCUCAACAAGCAAGGGAGGAAGGAGAGCGACGGAGGAGAGAGAGGGGUGAUCGACACCGUGGUAGGGACCAUUACAAGGACAGAUACAAAAGACGCAACAGAGAUCACUGGGAUGACUACCAUGAUGAGCUUUGA